Pseudophryne corroboree (corroboree frog) is the source of this 862-nucleotide long non-coding RNA. RefSeq lists it as uncharacterized. NCBI's taxonomy places the organism in Eukaryota, Metazoa, Chordata, Amphibia, Anura, Myobatrachidae. The record is from RefSeq and is a predicted model, not a curated record. The transcript is spliced from 3 exons.
CGACCCAUCACUAGAAGCCAGAGGUCCAUUAGCCCGCUAGGAUUUAGCAGAAGCCUCUGCUCAGCGCCCACCUUGUCCUUGAGACCCUGAAGUCACUAUAUUGCAGAGAUCUUCAAACAGCAACAUUCAGGCACUAUGAGAAGAAUGCGCGGCCGCAGAGGUCCCAGGGGAAGAAGAGGCCGCAGGCCGGAAUUGGUCAUACCUGACCUCACUUCCCUUUUUCCGCCCAUUGUGACUGACCCCAUUCAGCCUUGCCCCAUUUUGCCUGGCCCCAUUCUACCACAAGACGAGCCAGACAGCCAACAACUCUGUGUCGAGGGCCACCUCAGCGCAAAGCUGGACGCACCCUCGGGCCAGGACAACUCAAAGGCUAAUGACUGAUGGAUUUGAAUAAAGCUUUUAUUCUGCCUGUGCGGAGACACGACGGGCGGGCACCGGCCCGUUGCCUCUUUUUACACUUCCUUUUACGUUGUUUUUGAUAAUUGGAACUUUUUAUUUUGCUUUUUUUUCAAGGAUAUUUUACUGUUGAAUGUAUGGAAACACGCGCCCUGUCCACCGUUUCUCCAGCGAGGGAUCUCCUGAGGACGGCUGCAGAGACCGUUUCUUCCUGCGGAUGUUACUGCCAAAUGGGUCACAGGUCUCCUGUGUACCUGAACCUGUUUUUAGUGGGAGCUUAGCCAAUGCAAGUUCUAAAUCUGAGGCUCACAGACGCCCCCCACCCCAUACACCCACCUCCCCAAAGACUGGAUAUGAGGCGUGCCUCCGUGAAGAAAGCCGUACCUAGAAUACAGUCUGUCUGCAGGCGAAUCACCUGCGUGUUGUGUUUAGAACUGUUAAACAAUCAUUAAACGCGUUGAGUAAA